This is a non-coding RNA of Schistosoma mansoni, 45 nucleotides long. NCBI's taxonomy places the organism in Eukaryota, Metazoa, Platyhelminthes, Trematoda, Strigeidida, Schistosomatidae. The record is from Rfam.
AUCCUGCUGACGAGACCCAAAUGGGACGAAACGCGCGUCCUGGAU